AGGCGCGUAGCUCAGUUGGUUAGAGCACCACCUUGACAUGGUGGGGGUCAGCAGUUCGAAUCUGCUCGUGCCUACCA
RNAcentral lists this transfer RNA (77 nucleotides) under Pseudomonadales bacterium. Its description in RNAcentral is "tRNA-Val". It matches the Rfam family "tRNA". From Rfam's summary of the family: Transfer RNA (tRNA) molecules are approximately 80 nucleotides in length. Their secondary structure includes four short double-helical elements and three loops (D, anti-codon, and T loops). Further hydrogen bonds mediate the characteristic L-shaped molecular structure. tRNAs have two regions of fundamental functional importance: the anti-codon, which is responsible for specific mRNA codon recognition, and the 3' end, to which the tRNAs corresponding amino acid is attached (by aminoacyl-tRNA synthetases). tRNAs cope with the degeneracy of the genetic code in two manners: having more than one tRNA (with a specific anti-codon) for a particular amino acid; and 'wobble' base-pairing, i.e. permitting non-standard base-pairing at the 3rd anti-codon position. The record is from RNAcentral. RNAcentral also lists the same sequence under 1 other name. Lineage: Bacteria; Pseudomonadati; Pseudomonadota; Gammaproteobacteria; Pseudomonadales.